AGUUUAACGGCCGCGGUACCCUAACCGUGCGAAGGUAGCAUAAUCACUUGUUCUUUAAAUAGGGACUAGUAUCAACGGCAUCACGAGGGUUACACUGUCUCCUUUCUCCAAUCAGUGAAACUGAUCUCUCCGUGAAGAAGCGGGGAUAAAACUAUUAGACGAGAAGACCCCAUGGAGCUUUAAGCUCAACAACAACUCUUAUGAAAAUAAUUCCCCAUAGUACACGAACCCUGUUUGUUAGCUUUAGGUUGGGGUGACCGCGGAGUAUAAUUUAACCUCCACGGCGAAAGGGCAUAAACCCUAAUCCAAGAGCCACUGCUCUAAGAAUUUCUAAAUUAACGCACAAUGAUCCGAUUUUCGAUCAACGAACCAAGUUACCCUGGGGAUAACAGCGCAAUCCAUUUCUAGAGCUCCUAUCGACAAAUGGGUUUACGACCUCGAUGUUGGAUCAGGGUAUCCUAGUGGUGCAGCCGCUACUAAAGGUUCGUUUGUUCAACGAUUAAAACCCUACGUGAUCUGA
RNAcentral lists this ribosomal RNA (520 nucleotides) under Amietia delalandii (Drakensberg river frog). RNAcentral's name for it is "partial large subunit ribosomal RNA". It matches the Rfam family "Bacterial large subunit ribosomal RNA", at positions 1921 to 2608 of the family's 2925-position model. Lineage: Eukaryota; Metazoa; Chordata; Amphibia; Anura; Pyxicephalidae. The record is from RNAcentral.